Molecule: ribosomal RNA, 484 nt
Filed under: uncultured bacterium
Lineage: Bacteria
Description: partial 16S ribosomal RNA
Rfam family: Bacterial small subunit ribosomal RNA
Source: RNAcentral
AUUGAACGCUGGCGGCAGGCCUAACACAUGCAAGUCGAGCGGAUGAAGGGAGCUUGCUCCUGGAUUCAGCGGCGGACGGGUGAGUAAUGCCUAGGAAUCUGCCUGGUAGUGGGGGAUAACGUCCGGAAACGGGCGCUAAUACCGCAUACGUCCUGAGGGAGAAAAUGGGGGAUCUUCGGACCUCACGCUAUCAGAUGAGCCUAGGUCGGAUUAGCUAGUUGGUGGGGUAAAGGCCUACCAAGGCGACGAUCCGUAACUGGUCUGAGAGGAUGAUCAGUCACACUGGAACUGAGACACGGUCCAGACUCCUACGGGAGGCAGCAGUGGGGAAUAUUGGACAAUGGGCGAAAGCCUGAUCCAGCCAUGCCGCGUGUGUGAAGAAGGUCUUCGGAUUGUAAAGCUCUUUAAGUUGGGAGGAAGGGCAGUAAGUUAAUACCUUGCUGUUUUGACGUUACCAACAGAAUAAGCACCGGCUAACUUCGUG